UACGUAGGGACCGAGCGUUGUCCGGAUUCAUUGGGCGUAAAGAGCUCGUAGGCGGCUGCUCAAGUCGAAUGUGAAACCUCGAGGCUCAACCUCGAGCCUGCAUUCGAUACUGGGCGGCUAGAGUCUGGUAGGGGGAUCUGGAAUUCCUGGUGUAGCGGUGGAAUGCGCAGAUAUCAGGAGGAACACCGGUGGCGAAGGCGGGAUCCUGGGCCAGUACUGACGCUGAGGAGCGAAAGCGUGGGGAGCAAACAGG
RNAcentral lists this ribosomal RNA (253 nucleotides) under uncultured bacterium. Its description in RNAcentral is "partial 16S ribosomal RNA". It matches the Rfam family "Bacterial small subunit ribosomal RNA", at positions 524 to 776 of the family's 1533-position model. The record is from RNAcentral.